GAUCAUGGCUCAGAUUGAACGCUGGCGGCAGGCCUAACACAUGCAAGUCGAACGGUAACAGGAAGCAGCUUGCUGCUUUGCUGACGAGUGGCGGACGGGUGAGUAAUGUCUGGGAAACUGCCUGAUGGAGGGGGAUAACUACUGGAAACGGUAGCUAAUACCGCAUAACGUUGCAAGACCAAAGAGGGGGGAACCCUUCGGGUCCGUCUUGCCAUCGGAUGUGCCCAGAUGGGAUUAG
This 238-nucleotide ribosomal RNA is filed under the name uncultured bacterium. Its description in RNAcentral is "partial 16S ribosomal RNA". It matches the Rfam family "Bacterial small subunit ribosomal RNA", at positions 15 to 244 of the family's 1533-position model. The record is from RNAcentral.